Molecule: ribosomal RNA, 176 nt
Filed under: uncultured bacterium
Lineage: Bacteria
Description: partial 16S ribosomal RNA
Rfam family: Bacterial small subunit ribosomal RNA
Source: RNAcentral
GCUGGAAUUGCUAGUAAUGGCAGGUCAGCAUACUGCCGUGAAUACGUUCCCGGGCCUUGUACACACCGCCCGUCGCACCAUGAGAGUUGGAAAUACCCGAAGCCUGUGAGCUAACAGUAAUGAAGCAGCAGUCGAAGGUAGAAUCAAUGAUUGGGGUGAAGUCGUAACAAGGUAGC